GAUAAUCGAAUUGUUGGAUGUUCUUACCAAGUGUAUGAUCAAUCUUGCUGCACUACUGUAGAGAAUCUGGAAGUGUUUCCCUUCAUUGACUAUGUAUGUAAAAUUAUAGCAAGGUGGAUUUUAUGGUAUUAAAAUUAUGUUUGAACUUUGAACGUGUUCAGCCAUGAUAUACUAGACAAGUUCUGCUCCGUUUGUGGGGGCUAAGAAGCAUAAACUUUCCAUGUCUCUUAUGCUUAUUUCUGUUUUUGAAGUGCAGAUGUGAGAUUGCCGCUGCCCUUCCAAAAUUCAAACUUGAAUUAUUGAAUUGGAGCUGCCGGCCCUAGCUGAGUUCUGUAAAAUGUCAGAGCUUUAAGCAAGGCGAAGCGUUUGAACUUGUCAGGACCAAGUUGAGUUUUCUCUUGGAGUGAAGAGCACUCUGAAGUUCAUUAUUCAACCCACUUCCAUGCCUAUAUUUCAAGAAGAUGAUCAGAAAGAGGUUCUGCCAUCUUUCUUUUGAGGAGAGGAUAAGGCUGCAAUCACCACAUUUACCUCUGUAUUUUCUUGUACUGAGUAACGGGAAAAACAAUCUUUACAGAUUCAAGAUGAAUUGGGACACUUUAUGUAGUGUUGUCAUCAUUUUAUUGUACUAGUUUUUAGUCAUGAAUUUUUAGUCUCAUCUGGUUUGUAUUUGUCUCUAUAGCAAUUCUGUUAUUAGACUUCAAAAUCGUUCAAGUUGAAGCCGAGGGUAUAUUGAAAACAGCCUCUCUGUCCCUUGGGUUUAACCUUGGGUUUAGAGUUAAAGGUGUGCGUAUGCAUUACUCUUCCCACACCCCACUAGACACA
Molecule: long non-coding RNA, 822 nt
Filed under: Nicotiana benthamiana
Lineage: Eukaryota; Viridiplantae; Streptophyta; Magnoliopsida; Solanales; Solanaceae
Description: long non-coding RNA (NBEN_LNC030591)
Source: RNAcentral